RNAcentral lists this non-coding RNA (123 nucleotides) under Pseudomonas sp. RNAcentral's name for it is "SAH sequence". It matches the Rfam family "SAH (S-adenosyl-L-homocysteine) riboswitch aptamer". RNAcentral also lists the same sequence under 1 other name. Lineage: Bacteria; Pseudomonadati; Pseudomonadota; Gammaproteobacteria; Pseudomonadales; Pseudomonadaceae. The record is from RNAcentral.
CCGUCCGAGGGGCGCUGCAGCAGAUGGAGAACCGUUUCGAACCUGGCGAAGGUCGAAUCCGGUUCUCGCCUGUCAGGCUCGGAUGGGGCGUUUCCUCGAACGCAUCAACGGCGCCCAUUCGCA